GGAACUGUACAUCGUCGGA
This 19-nucleotide microRNA is filed under the name Caenorhabditis elegans. The record is from RNAcentral. Lineage: Eukaryota; Metazoa; Nematoda; Chromadorea; Rhabditida; Rhabditidae.